RNAcentral lists this ribosomal RNA (355 nucleotides) under uncultured Clostridium sp. RNAcentral's name for it is "bacterial SSU rRNA". It matches the Rfam family "Bacterial small subunit ribosomal RNA", at positions 21 to 358 of the family's 1533-position model. Lineage: Bacteria; Bacillati; Bacillota; Clostridia; Eubacteriales; Clostridiaceae. The record is from RNAcentral.
GGCUCAGGACGAACGCUGGCGGCGUGCUUAACACAUGCAAGUCGAACGAAGCGCUUAAACGGAUUUCUUCGGAUUGAAGUUUUUGCGACUGAGUGGCGGACGGGUGAGUAACGCGUGGGUAACCUGCCUCAUACAGGGGGAUAACAGUUAGAAAUGACUGCUAAUACCGCAUAAGCGCACAGUGCUGCAUGGCACAGUGUGAAAAACUCCGGUGGUAUGAGAUGGACCCGCGUCUGAUUAGCUAGUUGGUGGGGUAACGGCCUACCAAGGCGACGAUCAGUAGCCGGCCUGAGAGGGUGAACGGCCACAUUGGGACUGAGACACGGCCCAAACUCCUACGGGAGGCAGCAGUAGG